RNAcentral lists this ribosomal RNA (1369 nucleotides) under Zea mays. Its description in RNAcentral is "eukaryotic LSU rRNA". It matches the Rfam family "Eukaryotic large subunit ribosomal RNA", at positions 1 to 1281 of the family's 3401-position model. The record is from RNAcentral. Lineage: Eukaryota; Viridiplantae; Streptophyta; Magnoliopsida; Poales; Poaceae.
UGGGCGACAUCAAGUUGUUGUUCUCGGUGCAGCGUCCCGGCGCGCGGCCGGCCAUUCGGCCCUAAGGACCCAUCGAGCGACCGAGCUUGCCCUCGGACCGCGACCCCAGGUCAGUCGGGACUACCCGCUGAGUUUAAGCAUAUAAAUAAGCGGAGGAGAAGAAACUUACGAGGAUUCCCCUAGUAACGGCGAGCGAACCGGGAGCAGCCCAGCUUGAGAAUCGGGCGGCCUCGCCGCCCGAAUUGUAGUCUGGAGAGGCGUCCUCAGCGACGGACCGGGCCCAAGUUCUCUGGAAAGGGACGCCUGGGAGGGUGAGAGCCCCGUCCGGCCCGGACCCUGUCGCACCACGAGGCGCCGUCAACGAGUCGGGUUGUUUGGGAAUGCAGCCCAAAUCGGGCGGUAAACUCCGUCCAAGGCUAAAUACAGGCGAGAGACCGAUAGCGAACAAGUACCGCGAGGGAAAGAUGAAAAGGACUUUGAAAAGAGAGUCAAAGAGUGCUUGAAAUUGCCGGGAGGGAAGCGGAUGGGGGCUGGCGACGCGCACCGGCCGUAUGCGGAACGGCUCCUGCUGGUCCGCCGAUCGGCUCGGGGCGUGGACCGUUGUCGCCCGCGCCGGCGGCCAAAGCCCGGGGGCCCUAGGCGCCCCCGGCAGCCGUCGUCGGCGCGGACGGUAUCCGCGCGCCUCUGGCGCGCCCCUCGGGGCGCUGCGCUGCAACGGCCUGCGAGCUCCCCAUCCGACCCGUCUUGAAACACGGACCAAGGAGUCUGACAUGCGUGCGAGUCGACGGGUUCAGAAACCUGAGAUGCGCAAGGAAGCUGACGAGCGGGAGGCCCUCACGGGCCGCACCGCUGGCCGACCCUGAUCUUCUGUGAAGGGUUCGAGUUGGAGCACGCCUGUCGGGACCCGAAAGAUGGUGAACUAUGCCUGAGCGGGGCGAAGCCAGAGGAAACUCUGGUGGAGGCUCGAAGCGAUACUGACGUGCAAAUCGUUCGUCUGACUUGGGUAUAGGGGCGAAAGACUAAUCGAACCAUCUAGUAGCUGGUUCCCUCCGAAGUUUCCCUCAGGAUAGCUGGAGCCCACACGAGUUCUAUCGGGUAAAGCCAAUGAUUAGAGGCAUCGGGGGCGCAACGCCCUCGACCUAUUCUCAAACUUUAAAUAGGUAGGACGGCGCGGCUGCUUCGGUGAGCCGUGCCACGGAAUCGGGAGCUCCAAGUGGGCCAUUUUUGGUAAGCAGAACUGGCGAUGCGGGAUGAACCGGAAGCCGGGUUACGGUGCCAAACUGCGCGCUAACCUAGAACCCACAAAGGGUGUUGGUCGAUUAAGACAGCAGGACGGUGGUCAUGGAAGUCGAAAUCCGCUAAGGAGUGU